This 462-nucleotide non-coding RNA is filed under the name Trichobilharzia regenti. Its description in RNAcentral is "Eukaryotic large subunit ribosomal RNA". It matches the Rfam family "Eukaryotic large subunit ribosomal RNA", at positions 1493 to 1884 of the family's 3401-position model. The record is from Rfam by way of RNAcentral. Lineage: Eukaryota; Metazoa; Platyhelminthes; Trematoda; Strigeidida; Schistosomatidae.
GAGGUAGAGAAGAGUUUCAUACAAACAGCAGUUAUCCAUGGCUCAGGCGGUCCUAAUUGAUCAGGUUUAUCGAAACAGAGACGCAGUACCUGAUAUUUUCCGCUUGCAGGCUUUGUUAUUAUCGCUGCUAAACUGUACUGUUGCAGCACACAACCAUGAAGCGAAAAGGAAUCAAGUUAAUAUUUAUGACUCCGUCGACGGAGAUUGAUGCAUGUUAAAACUUUGGUUCACUGCGGGCUCAUUGCGAAAAAGCAUUCGAAUCAGGAGACUUUGUCGGGAGCUCUAAGAAGAGUAUUCUUUUCUUUGUUAGAAGUAUAUCCACUUCCGUGGAAUUGCCAUAUCCGAAGAUAGGUGGGCCAGCCUUCGUGAAGCACCAACCUUCUUAUGGUGUCUGGAACUCCCUUGUCAGCCUUUUAAAUCCGUUCUGAUAACUAAAGCAGGCCUCUAAGGUGAACAGUCUCU